UAGAUGCAAUAUAAAUGCAACAAAUGUAAAAGUGGCUUCAGCAGUUUCUCAAAUUUAAGAAAACAUAUUAGGAAGCUUCACCCUGAAGAUUUGUUGGAUUUGGCGCCUUUCCGUUAUAGAAAAAAAAUUGAGUUUUCGAUUUUUUUUUGUGAUAUUUGCAAGAAAGCAUUUAAUCAAAAACAAAGUUUGUACAAACAUGCAAAAACCCAUAGUAUUAAUGUUCAAAACGCAACAAGUCAGGUAAAUACUGGUAGAAAUAAUCCCAAAGCUGGUAGGAAGUCAAAGAAAUGCCCACUUUGUGAAUAUUAUGGUCUUCAUAGGAAAGACUUGCUUCAGCAUUUCCAAAAUAUACAUAAGGUGCCAUUAGUUUCAAAAAACUUCAGUUUUGUUUCGAUUGAAGAAUUCAACCAAUGGAAAGUAACAGUGGAAAGGGAUACAAAUUCAAAAUAUAUUAAAGUAAGAACAGAAUCAUUUAAAUCCCAUGUAACAACAAACUAUGUAUGUCAUCGUUCUGGCAAUUAUGUGUCAGAAGGAAAAAAGACAUAUUAAGACGCAAGGGAGCAAUAAAAUCGGAAGUUUUCGUCCUGCAUAUCAGUGCAGUAUCUUGAAAGUCAUGUUGGGCAUUUAACUGACAUAGGUCACUUACAACUCACUCGGACAGAAAGACCAAAUUUGGCCACAAAAAUUGCAGCUAAGAUUCCUUUUGACGACAUUUUAGAUCAAGUUCGGGAAUCUAUUACUGAUUCCACAUUGAACAGAAUCCAUCUUGUGUCUAAAAAAGAUCUUUUUAAUAUUGAAAGCAGUUUCAACUUAUGCUGUUCUUCUGUUCGCCAAUCUAAUGAUGCCAUCAGCGUAGAGGAAUGGAUUAUAGAAAUGCAAAGAGUUGGAGACUGUAUUGUAUUUUAUAAAGCCCAAGGAACAGUUUCAAAUGAGAUUCCUCAAAUGAAAGACGAAGACUUCAUAUUAAUUAUAAUGACACCAGCACAAUGUCAAAUUUUAAACACGUUUGGCUCGGAGUCCAUAUGCAUUCACGGUACACAUGGGCUCAAUAAUUAUAAUUUUGAACUGCACACUUUGAUGAUCAUUGAUGAUAUGAGAGAAGGGUUUCCAUGUGCCUUUAUGUUGUCAAAUAGAUCAGAUACAUAUGUAUUUACAUUAUUUUUCAAUCAGAUAAAAAUUAAAACUGGAUUUAUAACACCACAGAUUUUCAUGUCAGAUCUGGCUGAAAGUUAUUUUAAUGCAUGGUUACAAGUGAUGGGUUAUCCUGGGAAAAGACUAUUCUGCACCUGGCACAUUGACCGAGCCUGGCGGACCAAUUUGCCAAAGGUUAAGAGUAAGGAAAAGCAGGUUUUGAUAUACAAACAAUUAAGAACACUUUUAGAGGAAAGAGAUGCAUUUGCUUUUGAAAGAAUAAUUCUGUAAUAAUUUAUCAGAUCCCGACACUACAGAUUUUAUACUUUUAUUUUAAGAACAAUUAUCAAAUAAAUUGCAGUAAUUGGGCUUACUGCUACAGAUUAUAUGCAGGGCUCAGGCAAAUAUGCACCUCGAGAGAAUGCAUAGAACGAUCAAGUAUGUCUAUUUGGGUGGAAAGAAAGUCAAAAGACUUGACAAAGGUAUUGCGGCCUUAAUGCGAUUUAUUAGAAACAAACUUAUUGACAGACUUAUUACCAUAAACAAAGGAAAAAUAUCCAGCAAAUUGAAGAACAUCCGUGAUCGUCAUAAGAAUGUUGGAAAAAUUGAUUAUUCUUCCAUUGUAAGCACUGAACACGGUUGGGAAAUUAUACCAUGGAAGAUGAGGACAACAAUUUAUAUAUCCACUGUGAUCAAAAAAAUGACCAGACAGACGUAAUUCUUAGCCAACUAUCAAAGGAAAAGAAAGCAAUUUCAUCAAUACAAGAUAGACAAGUGGCAAUAUUGGAUAAAUUUCAUAAAAUUCUUUACGGCGACAUUUCUAACGAAAAACUAGACAUAAUCGAAAAAAUUGUUGAUUCUCUUUCACAUACCUCGGCCGCUACAGACCAUUUAAAAGAAGUUGUGUCCACAAUCAGAAUAUAACGGCGCAGAGACGAUUAUGGUCAACAAAAAAAAAGUCAAGAGGACAAAUCGUCUCAAAAGACCUUCCACCAUGGAAGCCCAAAAACUUGCUUUAAAUAUUUUGUUAUCUGAUAAUAAAUAAAUAGAAACAAUAAAACAUAUGUUUAUGUCUUU
Molecule: long non-coding RNA, 2208 nt
Organism: Anthonomus grandis grandis
Lineage: Eukaryota; Metazoa; Arthropoda; Insecta; Coleoptera; Curculionidae
Exons: 5
Source: RefSeq, a predicted model, not a curated record